RNAcentral lists this ribosomal RNA (253 nucleotides) under uncultured bacterium. RNAcentral's name for it is "partial 16S ribosomal RNA". It matches the Rfam family "Bacterial small subunit ribosomal RNA", at positions 524 to 776 of the family's 1533-position model. The record is from RNAcentral.
UACGAAGGGGGCUAGCGUUGCUCGGAAUCACUGGGCGUAAAGCGCACGUAGGCGGAUUCCUAAGUCGGUGGUGAAAGCCUGGAGCUCAACUCCAGAACUGCCUUUGAAACUGCAUCGCUUGAAUCAUGGAGAGGUUAGUGGAAUUCCGAGUGUAGAGGUGAAAUUCGUAGAUAUUCGGAAGAACACCAGUGGCGAAGGCGACUAACUGGACAUGUAUUGACGCUGAGGUGCGAAAGCGUGGGGAGCAAACAGG